CACGUAGGGGGCGAGCGUUGUCCGGAUUCAUUGGGCGUAAAGAGCUCGUAGGCGGCUCAGUAAGUCGGGUGUGAAACCCUCAGGCUCAACCUGGGGACGCCACUCGAUACUGCUGUGGCUAGAGUCCAGUAGGGGAGUGUGGAAUUCCCGGUGUAGCGGUGAAAUGCGCAGAUAUCCGGAGGAACACCGGUGGCGAAGGCGGCUUCCUGGACCGACACUGACGCUGAGGCGCGAAAGCUAGGGGAGCAAACGGG
RNAcentral lists this ribosomal RNA (254 nucleotides) under uncultured bacterium. RNAcentral's name for it is "partial 16S ribosomal RNA". It matches the Rfam family "Bacterial small subunit ribosomal RNA", at positions 524 to 776 of the family's 1533-position model. The record is from RNAcentral.